Molecule: ribosomal RNA, 1405 nt
Filed under: Klebsiella pneumoniae
Lineage: Bacteria; Pseudomonadati; Pseudomonadota; Gammaproteobacteria; Enterobacterales; Enterobacteriaceae
Description: bacterial SSU rRNA
Rfam family: Bacterial small subunit ribosomal RNA
Source: RNAcentral
ACACAUGCAAGUCGAGCGGUAGCACAGAGAGCUUGCUCUCGGGUGACGAGCGGCGGACGGGUGAGUAAUGUCUGGGAAACUGCCUGAUGGAGGGGGAUAACUACUGGAAACGGUAGCUAAUACCGCAUAAUGUCGCAAGACCAAAGUGGGGGACCUUCGGGCCUCAUGCCAUCAGAUGUGCCCAGAUGGGAUUAGCUAGUAGGUGGGGUAACGGCUCACCUAGGCGACGAUCCCUAGCUGGUCUGAGAGGAUGACCAGCCACACUGGAACUGAGACACGGUCCAGACUCCUACGGGAGGCAGCAGUGGGGAAUAUUGCACAAUGGGCGCAAGCCUGAUGCAGCCAUGCCGCGUGUGUGAAGAAGGCCUUCGGGUUGUAAAGCACUUUCAGCGGGGAGGAAGGCGUUAAGGUUAAUAACCUUGGCGAUUGACGUUACCCGCAGAAGAAGCACCGGCUAACUCCGUGCCAGCAGCCGCGGUAAUACGGAGGGUGCAAGCGUUAAUCGGAAUUACUGGGCGUAAAGCGCACGCAGGCGGUCUGUCAAGUCGGAUGUGAAAUCCCCGGGCUCAACCUGGGAACUGCAUUCGAAACUGGCAGGCUAGAGUCUUGUAGAGGGGGGUAGAAUUCCAGGUGUAGCGGUGAAAUGCGUAGAGAUCUGGAGGAAUACCGGUGGCGAAGGCGGCCCCCUGGACAAAGACUGACGCUCAGGUGCGAAAGCGUGGGGAGCAAACAGGAUUAGAUACCCUGGUAGUCCACGCCGUAAACGAUGUCGAUUUGGAGGUUGUGCCCUUGAGGCGUGGCUUCCGGAGCUAACGCGUUAAAUCGACCGCCUGGGGAGUACGGCCGCAAGGUUAAAACUCAAAUGAAUUGACGGGGGCCCGCACAAGCGGUGGAGCAUGUGGUUUAAUUCGAUGCAACGCGAAGAACCUUACCUGGUCUUGACAUCCACAGAACUUUCCAGAGAUGGAUUGGUGCCUUCGGGAACUGUGAGACAGGUGCUGCAUGGCUGUCGUCAGCUCGUGUUGUGAAAUGUUGGGUUAAGUCCCGCAACGAGCGCAACCCUUAUCCUUUGUUGCCAGCGGUUCGGCCGGGAACUCAAAGGAGACUGCCAGUGAUAAACUGGAGGAAGGUGGGGAUGACGUCAAGUCAUCAUGGCCCUUACGACCAGGGCUACACACGUGCUACAAUGGCAUAUACAAAGAGAAGCGACCUCGCGAGAGCAAGCGGACCUCAUAAAGUAUGUCGUAGUCCGGAUUGGAGUCUGCAACUCGACUCCAUGAAGUCGGAAUCGCUAGUAAUCGUAGAUCAGAAUGCUACGGUGAAUACGUUCCCGGGCCUUGUACACACCGCCCGUCACACCAUGGGGAGUGGGUUGCAAAAGAAGUAGGUAGCUUAACCUUCGGGA